Molecule: ribosomal RNA, 1246 nt
Filed under: 'Vitex nigundo' aster yellows phytoplasma
Lineage: Bacteria; Bacillati; Mycoplasmatota; Mollicutes; Acholeplasmatales; Acholeplasmataceae
Description: bacterial SSU rRNA
Rfam family: Bacterial small subunit ribosomal RNA
Source: RNAcentral
GAAACGACUGCUAAGACUGGAUAGGAGACAAGAAGGCAUCUUCUUGUUUUUAAAAGACCUAGCAAUAGGUAUGCUUAGGGAGGAGCUUGCGUCACAUUAGUUAGUUGGUGGGGUAAAGGCCUACCAAGACUAUGAUGUGUAGCCGGGCUGAGAGGUUGAACGGCCACAUUGGGACUGAGACACGGCCCAAACUCCUACGGGAGGCAGCAGUAGGGAAUUUUCGGCAAUGGAGGAAACUCUGACCGAGCAACGCCGCGUGAACGAUGAAGUAUUUCGGUACGUAAAGUUCUUUUAUUAGGGAAGAAUAAAUGAUGGAAAAAUCAUUCUGACGGUACCUAAUGAAUAAGCCCCGGCUAACUAUGUGCCAGCAGCCGCGGUAAUACAUAGGGGGCAAGCGUUAUCCGGAAUUAUUGGGCGUAAAGGGUGCGUAGGCGGUUAAAUAAGUUUAUGGUCUAAGUGCAAUGCUCAACAUUGUGAUGCUAUAAAAACUGUUUAUCUAGAGUAAGAUAGAGGCAAGUGGAAUUCCAUGUGUAGUGGUAAAAUGCGUAAAUAUAUGGAGGAACACCAGUAGCGAAGGCGGCUUGCUGGGUCUUUACUGACGCUGAGGCACGAAAGCGUGGGGAGCAAACAGGAUUAGAUACCCUGGUAGUCCACGCUGUAAACGAUGAGUACUAAACGUUGGGUAAAACCAGUGUUGAAGUUAACACAUUAAGUACUCCGCCUGAGUAGUACGUACGCAAGUAUGAAACUUAAAGGAAUUGACGGGACUCCGCACAAGCGGUGGAUCAUGUUGUUUAAUUCGAAGGUACCCGAAAAACCUCACCAGGUCUUGACAUGCUUCUGCAAAGCUGUAGAAACACAGUGGAGGUUAUCAGUUGCACAGGUGGUGCAUGGUUGUCGUCAGCUCGUGUCGUGAGAUGUUGGGUUAAGUCCCGCAACGAGCGCAACCCUUAUUGUUAGUUACCAGCACGCAAUGGUGGGGACUUUAGCAAGACUGCCAGUGAUAAAUUGGAGGAAGGUGGGGACGACGUCAAAUCAUCAUGCCCCUUAUGACCUGGGCUACAAACGUGAUACAAUGGCUGUUACAAAGGGUAGCUGAAGCGCAAGUUUUUGGCGAAUCUCAAAAAAACAGUCUCAGUUCGGAUUGAAGUCUGCAACUCGACUUCAUGAAGUUGGAAUCGCUAGUAAUCGCGAAUCAGCAUGUCGCGGUGAAUACGUUCUCGGGGUUUGUACACACCGCCCGUCA